GACGAACGCUGGCGGCGUGCCUAAUACAUGCAAGUCGAACGCUUCUUUCCUCCCGAGUGCUUGCACUCAAUUGGAAAGAGGAGUGGCGGACGGGUGAGUAACACGUGGGUAACCUACCCAUCAGAGGGGGAUGACACUUGGAAACAGGUGCUAAUACCGCAUAACAGUUUAUGCCGCAUGGCAUAAGAGUGAAAGGCGCUUUCGGGUGUCGCCGAUGGAUGGACCCGCGGUGCAUUAGCUAGUUGGUGAGGUAACGGCUCACCAAGGCCACGAUGCAUAGCCGACCUGAGAGGGUGAUCGGCCACACUGGGACUGAGACACGGCCCAGACUCCUACGGGAGGCAGCAGUAGGGAAUCUUCGGCAAUGGACGAAAGUCUGACCGAGCAACGCCGCGUGAGUGAAGAAGGUUUUCGGAUCGUAAAACUCUGUUGUUAGAGAAGAACAAGGACGUUAGUAACUGAACGUCCCCUGACGGUAUCUAACCAGAAAGCCACGGCUAACUACGUG
Molecule: ribosomal RNA, 508 nt
Filed under: uncultured bacterium
Lineage: Bacteria
Description: partial 16S ribosomal RNA
Rfam family: Bacterial small subunit ribosomal RNA
Source: RNAcentral